This 978-nucleotide long non-coding RNA is filed under the name Pan troglodytes (chimpanzee). Its description in RNAcentral is "long non-coding RNA NONPTRT000427". The record is from RNAcentral. Lineage: Eukaryota; Metazoa; Chordata; Mammalia; Primates; Hominidae.
GCUCCCGCCGCCCAGCCGGUGAUCGCUCUCCGGCCGUCCCCGGCACCCUCGGCCCCCCACGGCGGUUGGUCCGGGCGGGGGAAGGAGAAAGUGAGACUCGGGGUCAUCACCAAUCCAUCGCCAGAAGGGGAGGAAAUUGGAAUCCAGCAGCGGCGAGCAGCAGCUGGGCGGUCACAUCUGGAAAUGGAAAGCCGACCUCCCCCUCCUCCUCCACCACCUCCUCCUCCUCCUCCUCUCACCCAGGAUCACUUCCGAAACCACUUGGCCUUCAGCCCCUGCCUCGGCCAGAGGUUUCAUUUUUAACUGAAUAUUUACGAAAGCUGAAAGCGUGCGAGGGGGGUGGGGUGGAAAUAGCGGCUGCUUCUUUUCCAGGGAUUUAUUUAAUGGGGAUGUGUUCAAGGCAAGACCGAAUUCAGAAGGAUAUCGACGUCGUGAUCCAGAAGUCCAGAGCUGAGGACUGCCUGUUUGCAGAUUUCAGAUACUCAGACUCCACCUUUACUUUUACCUAUGUUGGCGGCCCCAGAAGGUAUUUAUGGGUGUAGAGUUGCUUCAUUUCCUGUUCACACUCUUGUGUUUCCUUUGUUCUUAGCGUGUUCCGUGUUCGGGUAUUUUGGUUGCUUGUUUGAUUAUUGUGGCUUUUCUUUACCUACAACCCAAGCCUGACGUCCCUCGGUUUUAAAUAGCAGGGGGAGGGGAAUCAAUGUUUGAUUCAGGUGUUUCGAAGACCACGCCACAGGCGAUGAGCAGAACUCUUCAUGUUGAAACGGUUCUGCUACAGUACUAGAUUGCUCUCAGGCGAUUUGGGGUUGAUACAGGCAAGCCGGUGCAAAACUGGAAUACUGGAUAUGAAGUGAAAUGUAUGAAAGACAUAAAAUGUCACAAAAUAGUUUGAUCACAAGUGUUGAUUUUCCUGGUGAGUUGGGGCUGCGUGUUUCCAUGUUUUCUGAAGGUUCACAUAAACAUGCAGCCUGCCAAUUC